AUGCCAUCAUCGCUACGAAGGCUAUUCACGACAAUCCUGGUGUUUUGCGAGCCUAGCAACGUCCGUAGCCUAUGGAACAAACACCUCGAGUCAAUGUCAGAAGACUACAACAGAAACUGCAAAUGCAAGCACACGGUCGAACAAAUGGUGCUUAGAAAUAUCAGAGACAUGUUGCACUCAAUGGGAAAAGACAUAAAAUCAUUUCCUCUUCCAGAGAUCGAGAAACAACAUGAGACGGCACACGACGUACCUAGGGAGAUCAUCGAGGAGACCUCAACCGAGGUGGACCUGGAGGACGCAUCUUUACAUAGAAACCUAAACAACGAGCAGAGAAAGGCCUAUGAUGAAAUCUUACACGCAAUUGACCGCCAAAGAGGAGGAUUAUUCUUUGUCGAUGGACCGGGAGGCACAGGAAAAACUUUUCUUUACAGGGCACUCUUGGCCACAAUACGCGGACAAGGCAAGAUUGCUGUGGCGACGACCACUUCUGGUGUUGCUGCUUCCAUAAUGCCCGGAGGGAGGACCGCACACUCCAGGUUCAAGAUUCCACUAAAAAUAGAUGAUGGAGCUAUUUGUGGAUUCACAAAACAAAGUGGGACAGCCAAGCUACUCCAAGCAGCAUCACUAAUAAUCUGGGAUGAAGCAUCUAUGACUAAGAGGCAGACAGUGGAGGCGCUAGACAAAAGCAUGCGGGACAUAAUGGACAGACUAGAUCUGCCAUUCGGUGGAAAAACAGUCGUAUUCGGAGGAGACUUUAGGAAAGUGCUCCCCGUUGUUCGGAAGGGAACAAGAGCCCAGAUAGUAGAUGCAUCACUAUGCAGGUCCAAGCUCUGGAAUUCCAUGCAAUACCUACUACGCAUUGGAAACGGAACCAAGGAGACAUGA
RNAcentral lists this ribosomal RNA (885 nucleotides) under Triticum aestivum (bread wheat). RNAcentral describes it as "partial small subunit ribosomal RNA". Lineage: Eukaryota; Viridiplantae; Streptophyta; Magnoliopsida; Poales; Poaceae. The record is from RNAcentral.